Molecule: transfer RNA, 85 nt
Filed under: Felis catus (domestic cat)
Lineage: Eukaryota; Metazoa; Chordata; Mammalia; Carnivora; Felidae
Also listed under: 1 other name
Rfam family: tRNA
About the family: Transfer RNA (tRNA) molecules are approximately 80 nucleotides in length. Their secondary structure includes four short double-helical elements and three loops (D, anti-codon, and T loops). Further hydrogen bonds mediate the characteristic L-shaped molecular structure. tRNAs have two regions of fundamental functional importance: the anti-codon, which is responsible for specific mRNA codon recognition, and the 3' end, to which the tRNAs corresponding amino acid is attached (by aminoacyl-tRNA synthetases). tRNAs cope with the degeneracy of the genetic code in two manners: having more than one tRNA (with a specific anti-codon) for a particular amino acid; and 'wobble' base-pairing, i.e. permitting non-standard base-pairing at the 3rd anti-codon position.
Source: Rfam by way of RNAcentral
GCCCGGAUGGCUCAGUUGGUUGAGCACCUGACUUCAGCUCAGGUCAUUAUCUCAUGGUUCGUGGGUUCAAUCCCCACAUUGGGCU